This 382-nucleotide ribosomal RNA is filed under the name Bathycoccus sp. RNAcentral describes it as "partial small subunit ribosomal RNA". It matches the Rfam family "Eukaryotic small subunit ribosomal RNA", at positions 582 to 975 of the family's 1831-position model. The record is from RNAcentral. Lineage: Eukaryota; Viridiplantae; Chlorophyta; Mamiellophyceae; Mamiellales; Bathycoccaceae.
AUUCCAGCUCCAAUAGCGUAUAUUUAAGUUGUUGCAGUUAAAAAGCUCGUAGUUGGAUUUUGGUUAAGAGGGCGCGGUCGGCCGUUUGGUCUGUACUGCGUUGUCUUGACUUCCUGAUGAGGACAUGCUCUUGGUUAACGCUGAGACAUGGAGUCAUCGUGGUUACUUUGAAAAAAUUAGAGUGUUCAAAGCGGGCUUACGCUUGAAUAUAUUAGCAUGGAAUAACACUAUAGGACUCCUGCCCUAUCUCGUUGGUCUCGGGAUGGGAGUAAUGAUUAAGAGGAACAGUUGGGGGCAUUCGUAUUUCAUUGUCAGAGGUGAAAUUCUUGGAUUUAUGGAAGACAAACUAAUGCGAAAGCAUCUACCAAGGAUGUUUUCAUUG